Small nuclear RNA from Homo sapiens (human), 60 nucleotides. Lineage: Eukaryota; Metazoa; Chordata; Mammalia; Primates; Hominidae. The record is from Ensembl.
AAACAUUACAGCUCUUUUAGAAUUUGUCUCAGGUUUUCUGGUUCUCACUGGAAAACCCCC